RNAcentral lists this ribosomal RNA (497 nucleotides) under uncultured bacterium. Its description in RNAcentral is "partial 16S ribosomal RNA". It matches the Rfam family "Bacterial small subunit ribosomal RNA", at positions 28 to 507 of the family's 1533-position model. The record is from RNAcentral.
GACGAACGCUGGCGGCGCGCCUAAUACAUGCAAGUAGAACGCUGAAGAGAGGAGCUUGCUCUUCUUGGAUGAGUUGCGAACGGGUGAGUAACGCGUAGGUAACCUGCCUUGUAGCGGGGGAUAACUAUUGGAAACGAUAGCUAAUACCGCAUAACAAUGGAUGACCCAUGUCAUUUAUUUGAAAGGGGCAAAUGCUCCACUACAAGAUGGACCUGCGUUGUAUUAGCUAGUAGGUGAGGUAACGGCUCACCUAGGCGACGAUACAUAGCCGACCUGAGAGGGUGAUCGGCCACACUGGGACUGAGACACGGCCCAGACUCCUACGGGAGGCAGCAGUAGGGAAUCUUCGGCAAUGGGGGCAACCCUGACCGAGCAACGCCGCGUGAGUGAAGAAGGUUUUCGGAUCGUAAAGCUCUGUUGUAAGUCAAGAACGAGUGUGAGAGUGGAAAGUUCACACUGUGACGGUAGCUUACCAGAAAGGGACGGCUAACUACGUG